Vigna unguiculata (cowpea) is the source of this 628-nucleotide long non-coding RNA. Lineage: Eukaryota; Viridiplantae; Streptophyta; Magnoliopsida; Fabales; Fabaceae. The record is from RefSeq and is a predicted model, not a curated record.
UUCGCAUUCUUCUUCUUCCACAAAAAUUAAAUUUACAGAACCAGAAGAAAACCCUCAAGGUUGUCUUCUUCUUCUUCUUCGUCUUUGUCUUCGUCUUCUUCUUCUUUGUCUCCUACUCCUGCCGUCAUAUCCAGUUGAAGGUCUCCUUCAUCAAAGGGUAUUUUUCUACUUUUUAUUCGGUGAAAUAUAUCCAGACAUUCUUUAUCUUUCUGAAAUUCUAGGGAGCAUAAUCUUUCAUCUAUGUUUGUGUUCUCUUCGGUCUUGAUCAGGACAUAUUAUGGGUUUGAUUUUCUUCAAAACUACUGUGAUGCCCUAAUCAUGCCAAAAAGACCAUCGAUUAUCGAUUAUCAAGUUGGUGCGUGCCAUUAAUUUUUCCCUUUUGAUAUAUUUUCUUGCUAAUGGAUCACCAAAAAACCAAAUUAUUUUUUUAGGUUUUUGAAAAAUAUUCAAGAUUUGAGGUGCGGGAAGAGAUAAGAAGGGGCACAAAUGGAGGGAGCUUUUGGCUACAGAAAACCAUUUCUUAAGUUGGACUUCUUUAAAAACCCUUUUUAUUUUAUAUUAUUAGUUGGUGUGUGUAUUUUUUUUUCUACGAUUUUCGUAAUCAAAAGCAGAGACAUUGUUUCCUCUU